Canis lupus familiaris (dog) is the source of this 430-nucleotide long non-coding RNA. RefSeq lists it as uncharacterized. NCBI's taxonomy places the organism in Eukaryota, Metazoa, Chordata, Mammalia, Carnivora, Canidae. The transcript is spliced from 3 exons. The record is from RefSeq and is a predicted model, not a curated record.
GGCUUGAGGACAUGAAGGCAUCUACAUAUAAUCCCUGUUCUUCAAGAGCCUGUAUUCUUCUUAGAGGAGAAAUCUGGGAUGAAGGUCGUACUGCUUUGGAGACCAUGAUGAAGAGCCUGGGAUCUUAACCUUUAUACAGACUGGCAUCCUGGUGAAUAGAUUGUAUCUUAUGGACUCUCUCUUUCCUUGUGAGUAUAUAUGAAAUGCUGGACAAAUAACCUUCACACCACCACAACAAAGACAGGAUUCUCAGAAUUCUCAGGCAAUUUAUCACCUCUUCAUAUUACUCGGCCUACUUCCUAUCUUGGGAAACAACAUUUCCUAGGAGAAAUUCCACCUUUCCAGUGAUACUAUCACUAUCAGAUCUCUGGCAUCCGAAGGAAGACAGACUAGGAGGAAACAGUAAGCUAUUUAGGAUCUUGUUGGACAU